AACCUGCCCAGCAGAGCGACCCGUGAACACGUUCAACCUCGUGGGUGUGGGGGCGUGGCUCGGUGCCUUGUGUGCCGGCCCGUCCCUCUCCCAAGCCGGGGGAGCGCCCACUUGUGGACUGUUUCCCCGGCAAAACAACGAACCCCGGCGCGUAAUGCGUCAAGGAAUACAAACAUUAUGUGUGUGCUCUCCCGUCGCCCGGUCAGCCGGGCGUUGGAGCGGUGCCAUGUCUUAACAAUAAACGACUCUCGGCAACGGAUAUCUCGGCUCUCGCAUCGAUGAAGAACGUAGCGAAAUGCGAUACUUGGUGUGAAUUGCAGAAUCCCGUGAACCAUCGAGUUUUUGAACGCAAGUUGCGCCCGAAGCCUUUGGCUAAGGGCACGUCUGCCUGGGCGUCACGCAUCGCGUCUCCCCCAAACCCACACCGAGUGGAGGGGAAGGAGGAUGGUCUCCCGUGACUCACCGGUCGCGGCUGGCCUAAAAUUGGAGCCCCCGGCAUCAGGAUGCCGUGGCAAUAGGUGGUGAACAAGGCCUCGGCCAAGCAAGCAACCCGCCGCGCGUCACGAUGUCAAAGUGAGCUCGAAGGACCCUUUUGGUUGCCUAACGGCAGCCUAACCGUUGCGAC
RNAcentral lists this ribosomal RNA (625 nucleotides) under Silene firma. Its description in RNAcentral is "eukaryotic LSU rRNA". The stretch from base 244 to 398 matches the Rfam family "5.8S ribosomal RNA". Lineage: Eukaryota; Viridiplantae; Streptophyta; Magnoliopsida; Caryophyllales; Caryophyllaceae. The record is from RNAcentral.